UACGUAGGGUGCAAGCGUUGUCCGGAAUUAUUGGGCGUAAAGAGCUCGUAGGCGGCUUGUCGCGUCUGCUGUGAAAACCCGAGGCUCAACCUCGGGCUUGCAGUGGGUACGGGCAGGCUAGAGUGUGGUAGGGGAGAUUGGAAUUCCUGGUGUAGCGGUGGAAUGCGCAGAUAUCAGGAGGAACACCGAUGGCGAAGGCAGAUCUCUGGGCCACUACUGACGCUGAGGAGCGAAAGCAUGGGGAGCGAACAGG
RNAcentral lists this ribosomal RNA (253 nucleotides) under uncultured Micrococcineae bacterium. Its description in RNAcentral is "partial 16S ribosomal RNA". It matches the Rfam family "Bacterial small subunit ribosomal RNA", at positions 524 to 776 of the family's 1533-position model. Lineage: Bacteria; Bacillati; Actinomycetota; Actinomycetes; Micrococcales. The record is from RNAcentral.